Molecule: ribosomal RNA, 535 nt
Filed under: Gadus morhua (Atlantic cod)
Lineage: Eukaryota; Metazoa; Chordata; Actinopteri; Gadiformes; Gadidae
Description: SSU rRNA
Rfam family: Eukaryotic small subunit ribosomal RNA
Source: RNAcentral
UAGCAUAUGCUUGUCUCAAAGUUUAAGCCAUGCAUGUAUAAGUCCACACGGCUGGAAAAGUGAAACUGCGAAUGGCUCAUUAAAUCAGUUAUGGUUCCUUUGAUCGCUCACCCGCUACUUGGAUAACUGUGGCAAUUCUAGAGCUAAUACAUGCAAACGAGCGCUGCAAUCCGGGGAUGCGUGCAUUUAUCAGACUUAAAACCCGCGCGGGGCGCUGCCGCGUGGUGGCCCCCGGCCUGUUUGGUGACUCUAGAUAACCUUGGGCCGAUCGCUCGCCCUCGCGGCGGCGACGACUCAUUCGAAUGUCUGCCCUAUCAACUUUCGAUGGUACUCUAUGUGCCUACCAUGGUGACCACGGGUAACGGGGAAUCAGGUUUCGAUUCCGGAGAGGGAGCCUAGAAAUGGCUACCACAUCCAAGGAAGGCAGCAGGCGCGCAAAUUACCCAUUCACGACACGUGGAGGUAGUGACGAAAAAUAACAAUACAGGACUCUUUCGAGGCCCUGUAAUUGGAAUGAGUGUACUUUAAAUCCUUU